UGUUUCUCCCCGGAGAAGGGGCCGUGCACAGUGAAACGCCUUUUGUGCGGCGCGGAACAAUGCCAAACAAGUGUUCUAGUACAGAGCCACUUUGUGUUCCCCUCGCCAGUGAAUAGAAAGGAGCCGUUGGUUCGUGAGCAGCUGGGACGCGCGGAGGGAGGUGGAGCCGCAGGCGCCCUCUCGCGUGCGCGCCCUCCGCCCCGCGCCCCGCGCCACCGGGAGCCCCGGCCCGACCCGGCCGAGGUUCGGCCCCAAGGCGGCGACACAGCACUCCGCCCGCGGCGCGCUCUCGGCGCGGGGCCGACUCCAGCUUUGUCUCGCGAGGGGACCCCUCGGCCGUGGGCCGCGCCGGGCCUCCCGGCGGCGCCGGCUGCUUCUCUUCGCGCCGCGACAGGCCCCCCCCCCACCGGACCAGACCAGACCAGACCAGACCAGAGGCGGCGUCUGGACGAGAGCGGCGGGCGGACGGAGCUUGCAGUGCUCGCAGCUGCUGUUUCCAGGAUGUCCUUCUCUGUCAGGCUGCAAUCUCCAGGACAAAAAGCCCACAGGACUUUUGCUCAGUGGAGCUCAGUCUGCAGAAACACUCUGUCAUUUGCAGCUGUUUCCUUGCCGCCGGGUUAGCUCUGGAGUCCCCAAAGAGUCAGAUGGGAUGAGAAGACUCGCUGUUCCCCAGGCACCUGGGAACUGCUGCCAGGGGACAAUAAAGCAGGUCUGGGGUGCAGGUAGCUGGUGCAGCCCUGUUUCCUCCCGUCUCCACCCCUCUCCUGGCCUCUGAGCUUGGCAACAAAUUAGAACACCUGAGAUCCCAGCCAAGCUGGUGGGCAUGGCCAAGGUCACCGGAUGUCGGCGAUGCCAGCGGGGCCCAGAGCCCAGAGUCGCGGGAAUCCUGGGCCUUUGUAUUCCCUGCUGGGGUGGGGAGGCAGCCUGGCUGCUGGGCGAGGCAUCCACACAGGCUGCUCUCCUCCGCAGGAAGCCCGAGAACAUUCGUGUUACUCCCUCAGAGACUGUCACCCCCGAAUUCUUCCCAGAUUUCCAUCUGGGAGAUGCCCAGUGUGUCCACGGAAUGCCAGCAUGUGCAGCUCUCAGCCAGCACUGUGCCCGUGCCACGCGGAUUAGCGGCCCUCAGCCCGCACUGGGCCGGUACUUUCCCA
Heterocephalus glaber (naked mole-rat) is the source of this 1151-nucleotide long non-coding RNA. NCBI's taxonomy places the organism in Eukaryota, Metazoa, Chordata, Mammalia, Rodentia, Bathyergidae. The record is from Ensembl.